This is a non-coding RNA of Cinara cedri, 244 nucleotides long. Lineage: Eukaryota; Metazoa; Arthropoda; Insecta; Hemiptera; Aphididae. The record is from the annotation of a GenBank genome assembly.
ACUCAACACCUUGUCAUCCUGUUGUUUUUAACUUUAUUUAACCCUUGGAUCAAAAAUAAUACCAGACAUCAAAACAAUUUAUAUUAUAAGGCAGUGGUAAAAUUUGUAAUUUAUAAUGUAACAUUUUCAAUGUAUCAACACUUAUAUCUACAAUUGUAGUAGAUGAUUCCAUUACCAUACUGGUGUCUGGUACUAUAGUAUAGUCGUAAUACACCUAUCAACUAAUAAGUAUUUACUACCAUAA